RNAcentral lists this ribosomal RNA (252 nucleotides) under uncultured Mycobacterium sp. Its description in RNAcentral is "partial 16S ribosomal RNA". It matches the Rfam family "Bacterial small subunit ribosomal RNA", at positions 525 to 776 of the family's 1533-position model. The record is from RNAcentral. Lineage: Bacteria; Bacillati; Actinomycetota; Actinomycetes; Mycobacteriales; Mycobacteriaceae.
ACGGAGGGGGCUAGCGUUGUUCGGAAUUACUGGGCGUAAAGAGCUCGUAGGUGGUUUGUCGCGUUGUUCGUGAAAACUCACAGCUUAACUGUGGGCGUGCGGGCGAUACGGGCAGACUGGAGUACUGCAGGGGAGACUGGAAUUCCUGGUGUAGCGGUGGAAUGCGCAGAUAUCAGGAGGAACACCGGUGGCGAAGGCGGGUCUCUGGGCAGUAACUGACGCUGAGGAGCGAAAGCGUGGGGAGCGAACAGG